AGACACACAUUUGGCAGGCUACCCCAGACCCAUGUGGAGCAGAGAAACACUGGUGGCAUGGAGGGAGUGCAAGACCCUGAAGAGAAUAUGCUGAGGUCCUGAAGUGUGCAGCUGGGGCUUAAUGAGCUAGAUAAAACUGACAUUCCAUAAAAGAAAUGAGUAGUUCAGCCUGAAACUCAAAUAAUUGCACAAGUAUUUUUCUUCAAGAUAAUCAUCAUACUUUGUUACAGAGCAGAAAUACAGCUCUUCCUGCUUCCUUCUCAUCUUAUCACCCAGAAUAUUUGUCAUAGUUAAUUAUAUGUGUCUACUUGAAGGGUGUUUUUGGAUGACUCCACUCUCCCUCAUCUCUUCUGGAAAAUAAAAGGAAUCAGAAAUUUCUAGAAGCCAAGAACCAAAUGAACGAAGUCAAAAUUAUGCCCUAAGGCAAGCCUUCCCCUCCAUGCUUAGAGCUAGCUCAAGGGGUGUGAAUGCCUCUACAGAUCCAGUUUCUUGGUGCCACAGAAGGGUCAGCAUUGACUCUUACCCUGCUCAAUUUGCUUCAACCCAGUGGGGCCUUGUUAAAAAAGAGCAAGUAUGUCUACAAUUCCAGAUCUCAUUUCAUGCAUAGUUGGCAGUGCAUAAGAAACUUUAUCAGAUUCCAAAAUAUAUUUUUAAAAAGUCCAAGAGGCUGGGGUCCUUUGUGAUUGUUGUGGAUCCACAUCAGGAAGAGAAACCCUUUAAGGAGAAGAAUAUGAUAUUUUCAUUUGCAUAAAAACAAUAAAACUCUUUCAGCAGCAAUUUCCCCUAUAUAAAAAGUGAGAACACAGCACCUUGGUGACACAGACAUCUGUUACUUAAACAGAUGCCACCUUCUAAACUCACUCAAGCAACCCUCUGCUCAACCAGAGACCCCUAAACCAAAAUUCAAUGCGUGGAUAGAACAAUAUGUGCAAAGGGUGCUUUCAGUAAUGAUGGGUUUUACCUCCCAGCAUCAUUAUGAAUUUGCUUGACUUUUUUGUGUUGUUACUUUAGCAAAAUCUCCUCCAUCAUUUCUCUCAGUAAUGUCUUUUUUCUAACUUAACCUCCACAAUCUGCAAAAUCAAAUGGUUCCUUCUAAGAUUCAUUGCUGAUUAGCACUAGCCCUUCAAAGGCUAAACCAUGGCUUUUGUUUGUUUCUUUCUUUUUGCAGAUGCACUUUAAUGACUUCACAGGACAAGGCUCUAACACUAUCUAGGAGAGAAAUGAAAGUUAGUUCCUUUUUUUUCUUUUCCAGUAGCACAAAGGGUCCCUGCUGAUGUUUUCCAGUGAAGCAAUACUCCCCUAGCCUGAGACUGAUAAGUGCCUUCAGAAGUUAGGCUUACACUUCUAAAUCAGCAGUUCAUGAAAGGCAUUACGAAAAACUAUUAUACUGCUAUAAUGCUAUAAUGGAUGACAGCACAGUUGUAUAUGUUACACCUUGAAGUAAGCAGUAGGAUUUUCCAUCACUUGAUAACCUUGAAACUGCUAAGGUAUCAAAUUGCUAUCAUGAAUAUUGUGCAGGAGAAGAAAUAACUCAGGAAGCUGCCUUUGUGAAUAAUAAUCAGAAAACUGCAACAUUUUUACUGAGAAAAUGGAUUUGAGGCACUGGUGUAUUGACAAGCUUUCUAACAGGAAACUAAGGUAGACAUUACAAGUACAUUUACAUUGAGCUAUGCAUCAAUCCAUCAUUCAGCAUUCGAUUUGUAAGUUCUAAUCAGUUAAAAAUAUUAUUAGCAAAGAAUUAUGUGGUAUGUUAAAAUUUCCAGGAUAAAGGGUAAGGAGAGCCCACAUGCUAUUUUGUAGCUGAAAACAAUAAAUAAAAAUGUUUGUUUGAU
Homo sapiens (human) is the source of this 1832-nucleotide long non-coding RNA. Ensembl annotates it as long intergenic non-protein coding RNA 1832. The record is from Ensembl. Lineage: Eukaryota; Metazoa; Chordata; Mammalia; Primates; Hominidae.